RNAcentral lists this ribosomal RNA (253 nucleotides) under uncultured bacterium. RNAcentral's name for it is "partial 16S ribosomal RNA". It matches the Rfam family "Bacterial small subunit ribosomal RNA", at positions 524 to 776 of the family's 1533-position model. The record is from RNAcentral.
UACGAAGGGGGCUAGCGUUGCUCGGAAUUACUGGGCGUAAAGCGCACGUAGGCGGCUUUCUAAGUCGGGGGUGAAAUCCUGGAGCUCAACUCCAGAACUGCCUUCGAUACUGGAGAGCUUGAGUCCGGGAGAGGUGAGUGGAACUGCGAGUGUAGAGGUGAAAUUCGUAGAUAUCUGGAGGAACACCGGUGGCGAAGGCGGCAUCCUGGACCGGUAUUGACGCUGAGGCGCGAAAGCCAGGGGAGCAAACGGG